RNAcentral lists this ribosomal RNA (253 nucleotides) under uncultured bacterium. Its description in RNAcentral is "partial 16S ribosomal RNA". It matches the Rfam family "Bacterial small subunit ribosomal RNA", at positions 524 to 776 of the family's 1533-position model. The record is from RNAcentral.
UACAGAGGUCUCAAGCGUUGUUCGGAAUUACUGGGCGUAAAGGGCUCGUAGGUGGCCAACUAAGUCAGACGUGAAAUCCCUCGGCUUAACCGGGGAACUGCGUCUGAUACUGGAUGGCUUGAGUUUGGGAGAGGGAUGCGGAAUUCCAGGUGUAGCGGUGAAAUGCGUAGAUAUCUGGAGGAACACCGGUGGCGAAGGCGGCAUCCUGGACCAACACUGACACUGAGGAGCGAAAGCCAGGGGAGCAAACGGG